RNAcentral lists this small RNA (1249 nucleotides) under Pan troglodytes (chimpanzee). RNAcentral's name for it is "processed transcript". The record is from RNAcentral. Lineage: Eukaryota; Metazoa; Chordata; Mammalia; Primates; Hominidae.
UGUGAAAGCUCUUUGCAAGAAAGUGCAGUAUAAAGAAGCUGUAAGUAAUGACACAAUUUUAAAAGAUGGAGUGGUUUUACUGAGGAAAUGUUUUUCUUAGGUGUGUGAAAACCAAAAUUAUUAAGAAUAUAUAUUUACACAUUUGGGUUUAGAGGAGACAGGCCCCAGCUUCAGCCCAUUUUGAUAAACAUGCCCCGUGGCUGGCAGAGAUCUGGGCGUGGGAGGAUGCUACAGCCGUGGGUAUAACCUCUGGCCUCGCCGCCAUCUUGGCCAUAGCCCCAAAGGCACUUUUGCCCACUGAGAAUUACCUGAGAAAGGUGCCACCACUUUAAGAGGCACAUCUCUUAAUAUCAUAAAUCCUAAAGCGUUACGAAAACAGCGCCCCUGUCUCGGUGUUGAUUUGUGUAGGACCCCUCCUUUUAGUUCAGAGGAGGAGCAGGAGGACGACGACCUCAUCCGGGCAUACGCAUCCCCAGGCCCACUUCCUGUGCCGCCAUCGCAAAACAAGGGCAGCUUCGGGAAGAACACAGUGAAAAGUGACGCGGACGGGACCGAGGGAAGCGAAAUCGAGGACACUGAUGAUUCUCCCAAGCCCGCAGGAGUCGCCGUUAAAACACCUACUGAAAAAGUUGAAAAGAUGUUUCCACAUCACAAAAAUGUGAAUAAACCGGUCGGUGGAACUAAUGUUCCUGAGAUGUUUAUCAAAAAAGAAGAAUUACAAGAACUAAAGUGUGCGGAUGUGGAGGAUGAAGACUGGGACAUAUCAUCCCUAGAGGAAGAGAUAUCUUUGGGAAAAAAAUCUGGGAAAGAACAGAAGGAACCUCCACCUGCGAAAAAUGAACCACAUUUUGCUCAUGUGCUAAAUGCCUGGGGCGCAUUUAAUCCUAAGGGGCCAAAGGGAGAAGGACUUCAAGAAAAUGAAUCAAGCACAUUAAAAAGCAGCUUAGUAACUGUGACUGAUUGGAGCGACACUUCAGAUGUCUAAUUCCACAUGUCAGAAGAUUCUUCCAGAAGCCAGCAGUAUUUCAGUAUCACAGUGUUUCAGUAAUUUGCCUCCAUGAUUCCAGUGCUUCUGCCUUACCGUGUUUCCCACAGCAACACAGAGACUGAUUCAAAGAACAAUGGUCUCUUUAAUGGCACCCAAUACAGUAUUGAAAAUCAGAUCAUCAACAGUAUUUCGAAGCAUGUAAAGGUGUUUAAGACUUCCGCUGCUGCUUAAAAAUAACAUGUCAUUGAAGUCAUAAAAAGU